UACGUAGGGCGCAAGCGUUGUCCGGAAUUAUUGGGCGUAAAGAGCUCGUAGGCGGUUUGUCGCGUCUGUCGUGAAAGUCCGGGGCUCAACUCCGGAUCUGCGGUGGGUACGGGCAGACUAGAGUGAUGUAGGGGAGACUGGAAUUCCUGGUGUAGCGGUGAAAUGCGCAGAUAUCAGGAGGAACACCGAUGGCGAAGGCAGGUCUCUGGGCAUUAACUGACGCUGAGGAGCGAAAGCAUGGGGAGCGAACAGG
This 253-nucleotide ribosomal RNA is filed under the name uncultured bacterium. RNAcentral describes it as "partial 16S ribosomal RNA". It matches the Rfam family "Bacterial small subunit ribosomal RNA", at positions 524 to 776 of the family's 1533-position model. The record is from RNAcentral.